UUUAGAGGUAUAGCUCAGUGGUUGAGUAUUUGCCUACUCUGCUUAAGGCCCUGGAUUCUAUCCCCAGCUCUGAAA
This 75-nucleotide transfer RNA is filed under the name Marmota monax (woodchuck). RNAcentral describes it as "tRNA.Ser". Lineage: Eukaryota; Metazoa; Chordata; Mammalia; Rodentia; Sciuridae. The record is from RNAcentral.